AUGUCUAUCUCUCCCAAAGAAGUAAAAGAAGCUAUUGUAGAUGAAGAUGAAGAACCUGAGAUUCAUUUGCCUAUUGUCAUACAUGAGCGUGAUGUGUCAAGUUUACCCAAUCCUCUUAAUGACAUGUCCUAUUACGUUUUCUUUGCUUCUACCUUGCAUUACAUGAUACCAUCACUCAAGAUUGAUUUGAAAAAUCAUUGGCUUGGAUAUGAUGAUACAUACACUGUUGGUGGUAUUGCUCUCAUUUAUGAUGAUGACACUUAUUCUCCUCAUGCUAGACCUAUGCUUAAUGAUAAAUAUCAUCCUCAUGUUAGUAUUGAGGUUGCUGAUUCCUAUCAUACUCAUCAUGUUCUUUAUUGCUAUACUUAUGUAAUUGGGUACUCUAUUGAUGAUUUAGUGGACAUUACCCCUAUCACUCAUAUUGUCUCUUUGAUUGAGUGCUUUUUCAGGUUUUUGCUACUACACCGUCCACUACACGCUUACAAGGUUCGAGGUGGCAUUCCUUGGGACCCUGUUGGACUUAGAGCAUGGUGA
RNAcentral lists this ribosomal RNA (534 nucleotides) under Triticum aestivum (bread wheat). RNAcentral's name for it is "partial small subunit ribosomal RNA". The record is from RNAcentral. Lineage: Eukaryota; Viridiplantae; Streptophyta; Magnoliopsida; Poales; Poaceae.